GAUGAACGCUGGCGGCGUGCCUAAUACAUGCAAGUCGAGCGAACAGACGAGGAGCUUGCUCCUCUGACGUUAGCGGCGGACGGGUGAGUAACACGUGGAUAACCUACCUAUAAGACUGGGAUAACUUCGGGAAACCGGAGCUAAUACCGGAUAAUAUAUUGAACCGCAUGGUUCAAUAGUGAAAGACGGUUUUGCUGUCACUUAUAGAUGGAUCCGCGUCGCAUUAGCUAGUUGGUAAGGUAACGGCUUACCAAGGCAACGAUGCGUAGCCGACCUGAGAGGGUGAUCGGCCACACUGGAACUGAGACACGGUCCAGACUCCUACGGGAGGCAGCAGUAGGGAAUCUUCCGCAAUGGGCGAAAGCCUGACGGAGCAACGCCGCGUGAGUGAUGAAGGUCUUCGGAUCGUAAAACUCUGUUAUUAGGGAAGAACAAAUGUGUAAGUAACUAUGCACGUCUUGACGGUACCUAAUCAGAAAGCCACGGUUAACUACGCG
Molecule: ribosomal RNA, 497 nt
Filed under: uncultured bacterium
Lineage: Bacteria
Description: partial 16S ribosomal RNA
Rfam family: Bacterial small subunit ribosomal RNA
Source: RNAcentral